This is a transfer RNA of 121 nucleotides. It matches the Rfam family "tRNA". Rfam says of the family: Transfer RNA (tRNA) molecules are approximately 80 nucleotides in length. Their secondary structure includes four short double-helical elements and three loops (D, anti-codon, and T loops). The record is from Rfam.
GGUCGCUUAGCUCAGUUGGUUAGAGCGUGGUGCUAAUAAACCCCCGGUUAGGAGUUUUCUACUCCUACAAACGGACCUUUCGUUAACGCCAAGGUCGCGAGUUCGACCCUCGUAGUGACCA